This 1250-nucleotide long non-coding RNA is filed under the name Mus musculus (house mouse). RNAcentral's name for it is "predicted gene 45524". The record is from RNAcentral. Lineage: Eukaryota; Metazoa; Chordata; Mammalia; Rodentia; Muridae.
CCUCUUAAAAUAUGACUUUAGUUUCAUGGGUUUAUAUCUGAAUCCUCUAUCCUAUUCUAUUGAGCUGCUGCCUGUUUCUGUGCUAGUACCAUGCUGUUUGGAUCACUAUGGCUCUGUGAUAACAUAACUACAGUUUCUUUCAGAUUUUUUUCCUGAAGAGAAAUGCUAAAUCUCUACUUGGAUUGACUUCAUCAACCACUUCAAUGUUGUGCCUGGCAUCAUAGCACCAGGAGGAGGUGGUCCCUGACAAGGAAAGACAGAUAUUCCCUCUCGACAAGCUACUGACAUGCUGGUACAACCUAGUGAUGAUGCAUGUAGUCGAUAUUGCUGGAUAUCAUAGGUACAGCUUCUGUAACAUAUCUGGAUGAUACAACCAUGGAGCAGAUGUUCUCCGGCUUUUACAUCUUUCUACUCCCUCUCCUGUGCUUUUCCAUGAGCCUUGUGAAGAGGGAUGGUGAUGGAGAAGCACCAGUUGGAAUUGAGCAUCCUAUGAUUACUUACUAUCUGUGUCUUGAUCAUUUGAGAUCUCUGUAAUAAUCUCCAUUAACAGCAGAAAGACUUUUCUUUGAGGAAAGCUUUCACAACACUUCCCAAUACCAUGAAAGGUAGGCCUCAGGGAGGAGCUUCCAGAUCAGUCAGAGCUCAACUUCUCGAAGUCUCAUGUCUGAAAUAUUUGGUAUCAUAAGCAAUUGGGUCAUGCCUUCAUGUAAAAUAAGAGGAAUACGUUCUAAAAUCGUCCAGCAUGGUAUGUUGAGAGAGUGUGCAAACCAUAAAGCCUUGUGGGGAAUGUAGGCAAAGUCGAUGGCACUGGGUUGAGGAGAUGGUGCUAAAUUCCAGAAGAAUACUAGGAACUUAGUGUUGAACACAAGAUGUCAGAAGAAAGAAAGACACUCACAGAGUGUCUUCAUACUGCCAUACUUAGGCUUCCCCAAUAAGGGUGUGCGUGCACAGAGAAUACAUGAAAAACGAAUGAGAUCGCCCUGAAUUUGUUGACAAGCACAUACUCAUAACUGCAGUUUCAACAAAAUACAACCAUAAGAAAUACUGCUACUGCACUGAUAGUUUCCAAUAAGAAGAAUAUUGUCAAAAGCAAAGUGGAUCAUUUUGUUCCGAAGAAGAGACAUAAGAGCUGGUAUACUUUUAAAAAAAAUCAGUAACAAUGCAUUAAGAGGUUGAACAUUUUGCAGUACCUAAAGCCAAAGAGGAAAAUCAUUCAGCUGAUUAUUCUAUAUUAAAAAAUCUUAAACAUG